RNAcentral lists this unclassified non-coding RNA (2040 nucleotides) under uncultured fungus. RNAcentral describes it as "sequence contains 18S rRNA gene, ITS1, 5.8S rRNA gene, ITS2, 28S rRNA gene". The stretch from base 907 to 2040 matches the Rfam family "Eukaryotic large subunit ribosomal RNA", at positions 1 to 961 of the family's 3401-position model. The record is from RNAcentral. Lineage: Eukaryota; Fungi.
GGAAGGAUCAUUAACACGUUUAACACGUUUUAACAAACCCCAAAACGUUCGUGAACUGUAUGUGACCGAUCGAGUUUAAUCGUUAAAGACAAUUGAUAUAUAACCACAUGGAAGUGUAGAAAAACAGAGUUCAUUCUCUGUUUGGUUGUUCAAUUGUUAUGGUCUGCUUCGGCAGAGCGAUUUUACUUGUUUAUCGGUAUUUCAAUCUACGCUUCUCGUUACUUGUGUAAAAAAGAGGUGGUGUUCGCACUGCUUCCUUUUUAAACAUGUAGCGGUAUUAAUAACCCUUUGUAAAUAUCUGACUAAAUUGUGGUGGAAUAAGUAGGUUGAAAUUCCGAAAGGAGUUGCAACAACUACUACAUCUACGCACGUUAAAUUUUUAACAAAAGAACAACUCUUAGCAACGGAUAUCUCGGCUCUCGUAACGAUGAAGAACGCAGCGAAAUGCGAUACGUAAUGCGAAUUGCAGAAUUCAGUGAAUCAUCAAAUCUUUGAACGCAACUGGCACGUUGGGAAUCAAAUACCAACGUAUGCUUCUCUGAGUAUCGGUUCUACCAAAACUCGACUGCGUGUUGGUAAAGCGAACGACUUUAGCUUUAACUGCAUGCUGGAUCGGAUAAUGAAUGUGUUUGCGUCGCAGCAAACUCGUUUUAAGUUGAGAGCGCCUAUUUAUUUCAGCAUUGAGAACGUUGAUUAUCUAACUCUUAUCCAAUAACUGAUGGGUUGAUCAACAGUGUUUUAUCUAGCUGAUGUUUGAUAAGGACCUUUGCUGGUCUUAAUACAUCACAUCGGUUAGGAAGCCCUGAUCAAUCGAGUCGCAUAUUGAAUAAGGGGAUCGACUAUCGGCUCAAGGCUAAGUAAGUAGCGUCAAAAGGAACCAUUAGGGUUCAAAAGCAAUUUGAAUUUUGAUCUCAGAUGAAGUAAGAGAACCCGCCGAAUUUAAGCAUAUUAUUAAGCGGAGGAAAAGAAACUAACAAGGAUUCCCCUAGUAACGGCGAGUGAAGCGGGAAAAGCUCAAGUUUUAAAGCGGUGCUCCGAGAGGGGUAUCGCGUUGUAACCUAGAGACACUAUCUCAGCGUGUGACCCGGGUAUAAAUCCUUUGGAAUAGGGUAUCAAAGAGGGUGAGAAUCCCGUUUUUGACCUGGAGUUCGCCGCGUACGAGAGGUGUUCAAAGAGUCGCAUAGCUUGGGAGUGCUGUGCUAAAUGGGUGGUAAAUUUCAUCUAAAGCUAAAUAUCGACGAGAGACCGAUAGCGAACAAGUACCGUGAGGGAAAGAUGAAAAGAACUUUGAAAAGAGAGUUAAAUAGUACUUGAAAUUGUUAAGAGGGAAGCACAGGAGACCAGUUAUACUUGGGCCUAUUCUUUGCGCCGGUGGAGUUCGCAGGGAGAUUCAGUGACCUUAAAAGCGCUGGGUUUUUCUGUGGGUGAGCCGGUGUACCCUGUAGGUUUGAGUGAGUCAGGAUCAAGUAGAUUCGCGGGAGAAAGCUGCGGGAAGGUAGUGCUGCGGGGUAAAAGCCGUGGCAAACUUAUAGCCCGUUUCUAUACCGUGGGUUUGCUUGAGGAAUAAUCGACAAUGCUCGCCGUAAGGCUGCUUGUGCUUGACCCUGGCGUUCUUGCUGGAUCGGAGAACAAAGUUCUGCGGUUUGGUAACGGGCGUUACUGGUUGGGACACGGGACAUGGGCAUUCGCGAUCUUGACGAAAUGGUCUUCUUUGACCCGUCUUGAAACACGGACCAAGGAGUCUAACAUAUAUGCGAGUAUUUGGGUGUAAAAACCCUGGUGCGCAAUGAAAGUGAAGGCAGCCUUGUGUUGCUGAGGUAGGAACCCGCAAGGGGGCACUAUCGACCGAUCGUUCAUUUAUGAAAGAUUUGAGUAAGAGCAUAUCUGUUGGGACCCGAAAGAUGGUGAACUAUGCCUGAUCAGGGUGAAGCCAGGGGAAACUCUGGUGGAGGCUCGUAGCGAUACUGACGUGCAAAUCGUUCGUCUGAAUUGGGUAUAGGGGCGAAAGACUAAUCGAACUAUCUAGUUGCUGGUUCACGC